This 511-nucleotide ribosomal RNA is filed under the name uncultured bacterium. RNAcentral describes it as "partial 16S ribosomal RNA". It matches the Rfam family "Bacterial small subunit ribosomal RNA", at positions 28 to 507 of the family's 1533-position model. The record is from RNAcentral.
GAUGAACGCUGGCGGCGUGCCUAAUACAUGCAAGUCGAACGAAACUUCUUUAUCACCGAGUGCUUGCACUCACCGAUAAGAGUUGAGUGGCGAACGGGUGAGUAAAACGUGGGCAACCUGCCCCAAAGAGGGGGAUAACACUUGGAAAAAGGUGCUAAUACCGCAAAACCAUAGUUACCGGAUGGUAAAUAUGUAAAAGGUGGCCAUAACACCGCUUUUGGAUUGGGCCGCGGCGCAUUAGCUAGUUGGUAGGGUAAAGGCUUACCAAGGCAAUGAUGCGUAGCCGAAUUGAGAGGUUGAUCGGCCACAUUGGGACUGAGACACGGCCCAAACUCCUACGGGAGGCAGCAGUAGGGAAUCUUCCACAAUGGGCGAAAGCCUGAUGGAGCAACGCCGCGUGGGUGAAGAAGGUCUUCGGAUCGUAAAACCCUGUUGUUAGAGAAGAAAGUGCGUGAGAGUAACUGUUCACGUUUCGACGGUAUCUAACCAGAAAGCCACGGCUAACUACGUG